This 427-nucleotide ribosomal RNA is filed under the name uncultured bacterium. Its description in RNAcentral is "partial 16S ribosomal RNA". It matches the Rfam family "Bacterial small subunit ribosomal RNA", at positions 355 to 774 of the family's 1533-position model. The record is from RNAcentral.
UGGGGAAUAUUGCACAAUGGGCGCAAGCCUGAUGCAGCCAUGCCGCGUGUAUGAAGAAGGCCUUCGGGUUGUAAAGUACUUUCAGCGAGGAGGAAGGCGGUAAGGUUAAUAACCUUAUCGAUUGACGUUACUCGCAGAAGAAGCACCGGCUAACUCCGUGCCAGCAGCCGCGGUAAUACGGAGGGUGCAAGCGUUAAUCGGAAUUACUGGGCGUAAAGCGCACGCAGGCGGUCUGUCAAGUCGGAUGUGAAAUCCCCGGGCUCAACCUGGGAACUGUAUUCGAAACUGGCAGGCUAGAGUCUUGUAGAGGGGGGUAGAAUUCCAGGUGUAGCGGUGAAAUGCGUAGAGAUCUGGAGGAAUACCGGUGGCGAAGGCGGCCCCCUGGACAAAGACUGACGCUCAGGUGCGAAAGCGUGGGGAGCAAACA